AAAGUCGUAACAAGGUCUCCGUUGGUGAACCAGCGGAGGGAUCAUUACCGAGUUUACAACUCCCAAACCCCUGUGAACAUACCUUAUGUUGCCUCGGCGGAUCAGCCCGCGCCCCGUAAAAAGGGACGGCCCGCCGCAGGAACCCUAAACUCUGUUUUUAGUGGAACUUCUGAGUAUAAAAAACAAAUAAAUCAAAACUUUCAACAACGGAUCUCUUGGUUCUGGCAUCGAUGAAGAACGCAGCAAAAUGCGAUAAGUAAUGUGAAUUGCAGAAUUCAGUGAAUCAUCGAAUCUUUGAACGCACAUUGCGCCCGCCAGUAUUCUGGCGGGCAUGCCUGUUCGAGCGUCAUUUCAACCCUCAAGCCCAGCUUGGUGUUGGGAGCUGCAGUCCUGCUGCACUCCCCAAAUACAUUGGCGGUCACGUCGAGCUUCCAUAGCGUAGUAAUUUACACAUCGUUACUGGUAAUCGUCGCGGCCACGCCGUUAAACCCCAACUUCUGAAUGUUGACCUCGGAUCAGGUAGGAAUACCCGCUGAACUUAAGCAUAUCAAUAAGCCCGGG
RNAcentral lists this ribosomal RNA (561 nucleotides) under Fusarium culmorum. RNAcentral describes it as "eukaryotic LSU rRNA". The stretch from base 196 to 349 matches the Rfam family "5.8S ribosomal RNA". The record is from RNAcentral. Lineage: Eukaryota; Fungi; Ascomycota; Sordariomycetes; Hypocreales; Nectriaceae.